CUAAUACUUCCUCCAUCUCAAAAUUCUUGUUUUAAAUUUGUCUAGAUAUGAAUGUAUCUAGUCACGUUUUAGUAUUUACAUACAUUCAUUUCUAAACAAAUCUUAGACAAGAAUUUUGGGAUGGAGGGGGUAUAUU
Hordeum vulgare subsp. vulgare (domesticated barley) is the source of this 136-nucleotide non-coding RNA. The record is from Rfam. Lineage: Eukaryota; Viridiplantae; Streptophyta; Magnoliopsida; Poales; Poaceae.